This 231-nucleotide ribosomal RNA is filed under the name uncultured bacterium. RNAcentral's name for it is "partial 16S ribosomal RNA". It matches the Rfam family "Bacterial small subunit ribosomal RNA", at positions 118 to 350 of the family's 1533-position model. The record is from RNAcentral.
UGAGCAACCUGCCCCUGGCUCUGGGAUAACCCCGGGAAACCGGAGCUAAUACCGGAUACGAGACCGCGUGGCAUCACGAGGUCUGGAAAGUUUUUCGGCCAGGGAUGGGCUCGCGGCCUAUCAGCUAGUUGGUGUGGGUAAUGGCCCACCAAGGCGACGACGGGUAGCCGGCCUGAGAGGGUGACCGGCCACACUGGGACUGAGACACGGCCCAGACUCCUACGGGAGGCA